UACGUAGGGAGCAAGCGUUGUCCGGAAUCAUUGGGCGUAAAGCGCGCGUAGGUGGCUUCGUAAGUCCGUUGUGAAAGUCAAAGGCUCAACCUUUGAAAGCCGAUGGAUACUGCGGAGCUAGAGUACGGAAGAGGCGAGUGGAAUUCCUGGCGUAGCGGUGGAAUGCGCAGAUAUCAGGAGGAACACCAAUAGCGAAGGCAGCUCGCUGGGACGUUACUGACACUGAGGCGCGAAAGCGUGGGGAGCGAACAGG
This 253-nucleotide ribosomal RNA is filed under the name uncultured bacterium. RNAcentral's name for it is "partial 16S ribosomal RNA". It matches the Rfam family "Bacterial small subunit ribosomal RNA", at positions 524 to 776 of the family's 1533-position model. The record is from RNAcentral.